This 253-nucleotide ribosomal RNA is filed under the name uncultured bacterium. RNAcentral's name for it is "partial 16S ribosomal RNA". It matches the Rfam family "Bacterial small subunit ribosomal RNA", at positions 524 to 776 of the family's 1533-position model. The record is from RNAcentral.
UACAGAGGUCUCAAGCGUUGUUCGGAUUCAUUGGGCGUAAAGAGCGUGUAGGCGGCCAGACAGGUCCGUUGUGAAAACUAGAGGCUUAACCUCUAGACGUCGAUGGAAACCGUCUGGCUAGAGUCCGGAAGAGGAGAAUGGAAUUCCUGGUGUAGCGGUGAAAUGCGCAGAUAUCAGGAAGAACACCCGUGGCUAAGGCGGUUCUCUAGUACGGUACCGACGCUGAGACGCGAAAGCGUGGGGAGCGAACAGG